This 73-nucleotide transfer RNA is filed under the name Centaurea solstitialis (yellow star-thistle). RNAcentral's name for it is "tRNA-Met". It matches the Rfam family "tRNA". From Rfam's summary of the family: Transfer RNA (tRNA) molecules are approximately 80 nucleotides in length. Lineage: Eukaryota; Viridiplantae; Streptophyta; Magnoliopsida; Asterales; Asteraceae. The record is from RNAcentral.
GGGGUGUGGCGCAGUUGGCUAGCGCGUAGGUCUCAUAAUCCUGAGGUCGAGAGUUCGAGCCUCUCUCACCCCA